Molecule: long non-coding RNA, 1396 nt
Filed under: Nicotiana benthamiana
Lineage: Eukaryota; Viridiplantae; Streptophyta; Magnoliopsida; Solanales; Solanaceae
Description: long non-coding RNA (NBEN_LNC010160)
Source: RNAcentral
ACCACUAAAAUAUAUGUUUUACUUACAAACAAGAAUAAGACAUCUCUAGAGUCAAUUUCUAUUCGAAUAACAACCACCCUAAAAGCAAAUUUUCUUCCGGUAACUUGUGCACUGAUGAACCAUAUUGCCAGCUAUGUUGGUUUACUCAUGCGCAUCCUACAAGAAAAAGAUAAAUCAUAAUCAUUUCUUUUAAUAAAUAAAAACUAUAAAGUACGCAAGUACAUGCCAAAAGAUGGAAGUUAUUUGAUACUAGGAACAAGGAUAAAAGUAUGAAUCAUGUAGCGGAGGAUAAUCAGGUAGGAGAAGUUCCCAACGUUGACAAAGGUCCUAUGAAGCUAGCAGUAGUAAGUAAUGAAGCACAAAAUCAAUUUUCAGAUAAGGUCAAUGACAUGGGUGAUGCAGGGCAAAGUCGUGUAGUGGCUAGGAGUGAUGCUGUGGGUGUUAGUGUUUCAGCUGCACCACAUGCUGCAAUUCCAGUUGUGCCUAUAGAAGAGAAGUUGAAGUUGGACAAGGGACCUCCUAAACCCUCUAGAGAUGUCCCUGCCUCUGCUAUAUUUACACGAAUGUACCUAGCUACUACUGGCGCAUUAAAAGCUGCUGCAGAUCGAUCUACAGGUAAUGCACCUCAUGUGCAGGAUGGUGAGGAGUUUGGUCGAGUAGCAUUAAUGUUUGAUGGAAAAAGGGAAAAUAUGAUCAAAAAACCUGCUCCUGCAAAUCCAGAAGUUGGUACUGUUUCAUUAGAAGUAGGUGCAAACCUACAACUACUGAUUGCGUUACUAAAGGUGCAAAUAUCAAAGGUGCUGCUGGAUUGCAUGAGAAGGGAGAGGACUAUGAAAGAGUACAAUUUUCCAGGAGUAAUAGUGGUGCUAAUGAUCCAAAGAAUGUGGCAAAGGUUUGGUCAGUUGUAUCACAUGAUAAAAGGGCUGCGAUAGAUCUUAAAAAGCAGGAAGUUGCAUCAGAAGACAUUAGGUGUGCUAAUGCUUUUGAUGCAUUGGCCAUUGAACAAGAAGGUAGAGAGUUUGAUCAUACUAAGAAAUUGGGACUGGUAUGCAGUGCAACACUAAAUCAGAAAUCACAAGAUACUAAUGUUCAAUUACAUGGCGCAACAAACAGUUCAGUUUCAAGAAGCAGCACAAAUCUUGGUCAAGCACUUGCUAAUGUGAAUGAGAUCGAAUGGAAGGCUACUGAUGCAAAUAUGCAACUUAUGGCUCUAGAUCAAAAUGAAGGGAAGGUAACCCCUACAAUUCACUUCUCCAGUCCUCAGGUGGAGAAAAUUAUCAAACAUUCACAGAUCGAAAUGAUGAUGUAUGCCAAUCCUAUGUUCAAGCAACCAUUGGUCACCUUGAACACAUCGGUGUAUGACAUUCCCUCUCAAUCUUGUGAGUCAAUUGGUGAG